CAGCCUCAGGAUGUUUGGCGCCAUGCUUCGUGUGCGCGUCAUAUUUCCGCGGGAAACAGAAGCACAAACGUGUAAUUGUGCGUUAUCGGUUAAUAUUAGGUUGAUCUAAGCCAUCCGCGACGAAUUGCACUUACAUUGCCUACUGCUGCUGUUGCUGUUGCUGUUACCGUUGAUCCUCCACUUCCACCUACUAAUCCUCCACCUGCUACACCUCCUACUGCUACACUACCAGCAGCAGCAGCGCUACCUACUCCAAUGGUUGCUAAGCUCGAUGAACCCGACGACACCGAGGCCGAUCUCUGAUGGUAGUAUCCUUUCUGUGGCAUUCCUUUCUGUGACAGCGUGACAGAGCACAUGCUUCAUCAAACGUACAGACCAAACACAUACGCACACACGCACACAACAGCGACACAACAACAAUGGGUGCGGGAAAAGCAAAGGAAACAGCAAUGCAAGUGCUUCCGGAAGUGGCGGCUUGUCUGGCGAUAUACCUUCACUAACGCACAAACACUCUCUCACACACACACAAACACACGCAAACCGCGACAGAGCACGGUGCGAGCGGAGACAAACAAAACAGGCUAUGUGCGGAUCGGAUGCUUUGUGCAACACAAUGCCAAUGGGCCGGCUGCUCCACUGCACACUCACACACACGGCGCAGUGUUUUUCGUCCUAACAAAACUGGCGACAGCUGUCAGUCAGUGAGCGCAGCACAGAAGCAACACCAUAAGCGAGGUUAUGAGCGCAAGCGCGAUCAACAAAAAAAACACGCACGAGGCAGGCGCGUCAACACACGGCUGUUUUCAAGCACACAACACAACUGCGCAGCAGAUUAGAGAAGGGAAGCGCGGUUGCUGAAUCUUCUACGCGUGCCUUUCUUCUUCGCAAUGUGACACACACGCGCUCCCUUUUUUGCACAAUGCGAUGCAGACCUUAUUGGUGGGAUUUAUUACAUUUGCACACGCGUGGUUAAGCACUUUUCUUCCGUUUGUUUUGCUAAGGCAGAGUAGUAGUUGUACAGUGCUGAUGCCGUAGUAGCAAGAGUGUUGUUAUACCAUUCGGUAGAAUAGUUGUGCCUGUUGGCGAUAAAACGCGUUUAGGGAAAGCUAAUCCACGGAUGGAUUGUUGUUUGGAUCGUUGUUAUCACACCACACCAUAUACGGACGCGCACUGAAUUAGCGAGUUCAACACAACAGCAACGCAUUAAUGGCCCUUCAAAGCGGCACGAGGGACAGCGAGACGACACAAACCACCACCACAAACCGACCGUAAGAACAUUCCCCAGCGAACUAACAAACACAUGGUGGUGCUGCGCGCAUCUAAUGCGAGUCGAGAGAUGAGCGCCGCACACACGAGAGCGGAGAAUACAUGGACACCGCACGGGGUAACGAAAAACGCUUCAUGCGCGGGCGCUUCUCAAUACGCACACGCACACAGCGUCAUCGUAGCACGUUUAGCUGCGCCAGCGACAUUCGGUGCAUUCAGUGCAUACCACCGACAAAACAAAUGCACCCGCUAACGUCCCUAACUAAACGACUGCUACCUAUCUACUGCACCGCACACAACCACACGCAUGCGGCCAUUUCUCUGCCGGAUGCUCUCGAGCUAAUUCGCGAUGCAUAAAACAAAACAAAAAGGGCAGAUGCGGCACAAGAACCAGAACCACAGCAACAUAUACGGCGGCCUCGGGAGGUUGAGCGGACGGGGGAUAGGGGGUAAUAAGUAUGCUGUGCGCCGUCGCUAUGCAAAUGUGCAACGCACAUAUCUUACCCCCCUGGGCUCAGCCGCGAAUAAAGGGCCGAGAGGUUGAUCACCGGUUGAGUCCGAGUGUUGUGUGGGUCGUACCAUUCACCCGCUGUUGCUGGGAAGCGUAGUGUGCGUGUGUCUGUGCCUGUAUGUUUGUUGUUUUAAAAUACAUAAACUGCAGUACCAGCAGCAUUAAAAAUGCGAUCACAGCAAUCCACUCUUUUUUGAAUUCGUCUAUCGCGAAGAAAGAUCUUCCAGCGCUUAAGAAAGCGAAAUCAAACACAGCUUAAGAUCGCGUUGUAAGCCAUCGGAUCUUGAAAAACAACCAGGCGCGGCUUUGUAAACAAAUUGAUAUGCAGGCAAAGAACUUCGAAUCCUCCUGCAGGGUAAUUCCACCAAAAAGCGGUGUGCACCGUUCUACUCAUUUGACGAUGGAUGACGAUGGAUGGAGUAUUUUUAAUAUGCUUUUUUUUGUAUUUACUACCUUAUUAUAAAUAAAGCUGUUUUGUUUGCCCUUGCUGCCUAUUAUCCUUAAA
Molecule: long non-coding RNA, 2282 nt
Organism: Anopheles arabiensis
Lineage: Eukaryota; Metazoa; Arthropoda; Insecta; Diptera; Culicidae
Exons: 2
Source: RefSeq, a predicted model, not a curated record